UACGUAGGGGGCCAGCGUUGUCCGGAUUUAUUGGGCGUAAAGAGCGUGUAGGCGGCCAGGUAGGUCUGGUGUGAAAACUCGAGGCUCAACCUCGAGAUGUCAUCGGAAACCAUCUGGCUAGAGUCCGGAAGAGGAGAGUGGAAUUCCUGGUGUAGCGGUGAAAUGCGCAGAUAUCAGGAAGAACACCCGUGGCGAAGGCGGCUCUCUGGGACGGUACUGACGCUGAGACGCGAAAGCGUGGGAGCGAACAGG
This 252-nucleotide ribosomal RNA is filed under the name uncultured bacterium. RNAcentral describes it as "partial 16S ribosomal RNA". It matches the Rfam family "Bacterial small subunit ribosomal RNA", at positions 524 to 776 of the family's 1533-position model. The record is from RNAcentral.